RNAcentral lists this ribosomal RNA (274 nucleotides) under uncultured bacterium. RNAcentral's name for it is "partial 16S ribosomal RNA". It matches the Rfam family "Bacterial small subunit ribosomal RNA", at positions 523 to 796 of the family's 1533-position model. The record is from RNAcentral.
AUACGGAGGGUGCAAGCGUUAAUCGGAAUUACUGGGCGUAAAGCGUACGUAGGCGGCGCAUUAAGUCAGUUGUGAAAGCCCGGGGCUCAACCCCGGAAGUGCAAUUGAAACUGGUGUGCUUGAGUAUGGUAGAGGGAAGUGGAAUUCCUGGUGUAGCGGUGAAAUGCGUAGAUAUCAGGAGGAACACCCGUGGCGAAGGCGACUUCCUGGACCAAUACUGACGCUGAGGCGCGAAGGCGUGGUGAGCAAACAGGAUUAGAAACCCCGGUAGUCC